GUAAGUACGAGUCAUAUUUCUGGAGUAUCACGCCGACUAUUUUCGGUGUUUCUGGGUAAAUCUGUUGCCUCACAGCAGCCAUUUUAGGCUCCUGGCUUUUUCAGUCGGACAGUGUUUUAACGAAAACGCUGCUGACAAGUCUGGAGUGACUCAGUUCUGCCCGCCGACUGGACCAUGUGGACGCUGAUCUGAGGAAGCUGAGGAACGCUAUCAAGCUGCAGCUGCCAGUGGAUCAGAUCCAGCCUCAAAGAGCCAGUGUUUAACAGUUAACAUUUCUAACUGGAAACUGGAAUUUCUGGGUGGUGACUGCUCCAGUUUUUCUUUUUUUUCUUUGUUUUUCUAGAUUGUAUGCUAUAGUCACACUGGGGAAAACACUGGCACAAUUAAAAAUGUUGUGACUACGUGCAAUGAUUUUGCAAACUUGUUGCUCGUUGAAGACAGGUACCAGGUCUGUGACCACUCACAGUCAGCUGCCAUCUUGAAAGCUACUUCAAAACAACAAAAUAUAAGAAAACAAACAAACAAACAAAAAAAAAUAGAGUCAGCAUGGUUUCUCCAUCAGUUUACACUUGUAUGGGAUCAAGUGGGCAAUUCCAUUCCAUCUUUGAUAAAACAUCAAGCAACUAUGGUAAACUGAUGACAAUCGCAAAUCUGUUGUCGUCUGUAAAAAUAGAAAUUCACAUCAGGUACUUGCAUUCAGAGUCCAGGCAGAACCUCAUAAAUCUGAAAGAGAGAUUUGGAAAUCCUCCACAAAUAGUAACAUAGUUGUUGCAGGAUCGCGAUUUAACUGCCAAAUGACACAAUCACUCAGCAACCUUGCUUAAAUAUAGGAAUAUAACCAGAACACAAACACAUGAGUCAAGUGGCCUGUUGCAAUGAGAUACAACACAGACAACUGAAGAAGAUGCAGUGAGUCUAAGUCAGACUGCAACUGGUUGGAGACCAGUUGCCUCUCACCAGGCACUUGCCUCUCACUUUGCCAUGAACACCUGCA
Long non-coding RNA from Oreochromis aureus, 994 nucleotides. NCBI's taxonomy places the organism in Eukaryota, Metazoa, Chordata, Actinopteri, Cichliformes, Cichlidae. The record is from Ensembl.